Molecule: ribosomal RNA, 255 nt
Filed under: uncultured bacterium
Lineage: Bacteria
Description: partial 16S ribosomal RNA
Rfam family: Bacterial small subunit ribosomal RNA
Source: RNAcentral
UACAUGGGGUGCAAACGUUGCUCGGAAUUAUUGGGCGUAAAGCGCACGUAGGCGGUUCGUUAAGUCGGAUGUGAAAGCCCUCGGCUCAACUGAGGAAGUGCACCCGAAACUGGCGAGCUUGAGUACGAAAGAGGAUCGCGGAAUUCCCGGUGUAGAGGUGAAAUUCGUAGAUAUCGGGAGGAACACCCGUGGCGAAGGCGGCUCUCUGGGACGGUACUGGACGCGUGAGACGCGAAAGCGUGGGGAGCGAACAGG